Molecule: ribosomal RNA, 164 nt
Filed under: Litsea pungens
Lineage: Eukaryota; Viridiplantae; Streptophyta; Magnoliopsida; Laurales; Lauraceae
Also listed under: 1 other name
Description: 5.8S ribosomal RNA
Rfam family: 5.8S ribosomal RNA
About the family: 5.8S ribosomal RNA (5.8S rRNA) is a component of the large subunit of the eukaryotic ribosome.
Source: RNAcentral
UAGACGACUCUCGGCAACGGAUAUCUCGGCUCUCGCAUCGAUGAAGAACGUAGCGAAAUGCGAUACUUGGUGUGAAUUGCAGAAUCCCGUGAACCAUCGAGUCUUUGAACGCAAGUUGCGCCUGAGGCCACUCGGCCGAGGGCACGCCUGCCUGGGCGUCACGC